Molecule: ribosomal RNA, 245 nt
Filed under: uncultured bacterium
Lineage: Bacteria
Description: partial 16S ribosomal RNA
Rfam family: Bacterial small subunit ribosomal RNA
Source: RNAcentral
AACGUAGGAGGCGAGCGUUAUCCGGAUUCACUGGGCGUAAAGCGCAGGUAGGUGGUUCGUUAAGUUGGUUGUGAAAGCCCCUGGCUCAACUGGGGGAGGUCAGCCAAAACUGGCGGACUGGAGGUUCCGAGAGGAGAGUGGAAUUCCCGGUGUAGCGGUGGAAUGCGUAGAGAUCGGGAGGAACACCAGUGGCGAAAGCGACUCUCUGGCGGAGACCUGACACUGAACUGCGAAAGCGUGGGUAG